Zingiber officinale is the source of this 1450-nucleotide long non-coding RNA. RefSeq lists it as uncharacterized. NCBI's taxonomy places the organism in Eukaryota, Viridiplantae, Streptophyta, Magnoliopsida, Zingiberales, Zingiberaceae. The record is from RefSeq and is a predicted model, not a curated record. The transcript has 2 exons.
GCAUGACCAAUCACGUUUCUUCUUCUCUUCAUCGUCUGACACCGCCACAUUUCCACCUCUUCGUCAUCAAUCGGUCAGCGGCUACCAUUUCCACCAUCACAACCACUGACCGGUCUGCUCAUCCCAAGAACACCCUCACCCGAUUGGAAGAGGUUCUCUCUACCGAAUCCAUCUCAGAUGGCCUUCUUCUCCGAUUGAAUCCGAGACAAGAGGAGCCACCCAAUCGCCCCUGCCAGAUCUCAUUUCAUCUUCACGUUUGUCGCUGUUCGUUUCUGUUAGAAGACUCAGAUUCGAGUCUUCUUCACGCAGCCACCACCGGAGUUUCCUCCCAGAUUCGGGAGCCAUCUCCUCCAUUACACAGCCCUCUCUCGAUUGGGAGAGGAGUCACCACCGUCAUCUCAGCUCUGGCGCCCUUCCUAUCUCCAGCACAAACCCUUACAAGUUCUGGAUAGCAGAUUCGUCUCACGCAUCCAUCCAGAUUGUAACAUCCCUUCUUCGACAAGUUUUGACUUGGUUGUUCGUUGUGUUGCUUUGUUUCAUUUGGUUGUUGGUUGAUCCCCAUAUUUGAUUGAUUGAGUAGAUCCAAUGUUUCAUGCCUAAGAUGUCAUGUAUUAAGUUGGAAUCAUUUGAUGUUUAUCAAGUGUUCUAUAAAUUUCCCCAAACACUACUUGAAGUUGAUUUGAUCCGAAUACUUUGAUGUGUUGAUCGCUUGAAUGAAUUCAUGUUUGAAUGCUUGUAAUUGAUUUGGUUCCCGUGAUUAGGAUUUCAUGUAGUGAAUUUUGAUUGGUUGAUGCUUGCAAGGUGUUCGAUGGAAUGUUUUCCUUAAGUAAUUAGACUUUAGUUUGGUAAUUCCUUUAGUUAAUUGUUUUGCAUUGCUUGUUAAUAUUAGAUCCAUUAUGUUUCUGCCCCUCCUUUGAAUGUUAUUAGGAUAGAUUAGCUUAGGUUACAUUACAUGCUCUAGGUUUGUUGCUUCAAUUUAAAUCUAUGUCGCUGCUUCUAUCACACUAUAUUGAUUAUGAUUUUGACUCAAUAGAUAGUGUCAUUAGCAAUUCGAAGUGGGAAUGGUCUGCUUCUGAAAGGAGGAAAACAAGCUAGGCCUUCAAAUGCAAUUCUUCACAAGGUCAUCAAUGCAGCCAUUCCUGAUACAGUUUGUGAAAAACUUAUCGUGUUUAUGACUUCAAAAAAGUAUAUUCCAUAUUUUCUUAAGGCGAGGAUACAAAUUUGACGACGAAUAUACUUUAUAAGAUAUUAACAUCUAAAUUGGUAUUCUAUGCAUCAGCUUGAUGAUGUAAUAGAUAUUGUGAUUCCAAGAGGAAACAAUAGACUUGUUUCUCAGAUAAAAAGCUCCACUAAAAUUUCUGUUUUUGGUACAAGUCUGUGCGUGUGUUUUUGAUACUCCUUUUACCUUGUAGUUAUAAAGCAAUAAAGAUUCAUGUCAAAUGAUUUAUUA